AUACGUAGGGAGCGAGCGUUGUCCGGAAUUACUGGGCGUAAAGGGCGCGUAGGCGGCGCUUCAAGUCGUCUGUCAAAUGGGAGGGCUUAACCCUUUUUCGCAGACGAAACUGGAGAGCUUGAGAAGCAGAGAGGCAAACAGAAUUCCUGGUGUAGCGGUGAAAUGCGUAGAUAUCAGGAAGAAUACCAGUGGCGAAGGCGGUUUGCUGGCUGCAUACUGACGCUGAAGCGCGAAAGCCAGGGGAGCAAACAGGAUUAGAUACCCCGGUAGUCCUGGCAGUAAACGAUGUAUGCUGGGUGUGAGACUAGCGAUAGUUUCGUGCCGAAGUUAACGCGAUAAGCAUACCGCCUGGGGAGUACGGUCGCAAGAUUGAAACUUAAAGGAAUUGACGGGG
This 394-nucleotide ribosomal RNA is filed under the name uncultured bacterium. RNAcentral's name for it is "partial 16S ribosomal RNA". It matches the Rfam family "Bacterial small subunit ribosomal RNA", at positions 523 to 918 of the family's 1533-position model. The record is from RNAcentral.